This 352-nucleotide long non-coding RNA is filed under the name Capsella rubella. RNAcentral describes it as "long non-coding RNA (CRUB_LNC000616)". The record is from RNAcentral. Lineage: Eukaryota; Viridiplantae; Streptophyta; Magnoliopsida; Brassicales; Brassicaceae.
UACACUUGUGACAAAAUACUUCAGAGUGCACUAUAAAUAGUCUUUCGAACCCAAUCACAUAACAUGCACUGUUUGGUCAGGGGAUAGCUGCUAUCAGCCAAAUGACAUGUUUUAUGACUUUUAAAAGUGUGACAAUUAUUGGUAUAUAUAUGGCUUCGUAUCUUUUAUUCUGUAACUCUUAAUAGUUGUCGUUUAGCUAUUUCCCUAGCAAAAUACAUUUGCACUCCAAGGAAAAAAAAAAACAUAAGCAUAAAAAAAUUUGUAUUCAUCCGUGCAUACAUGCUCUUUACCUCAUUUACCAUUCAUUUACUUACAAAAAUUUUAAGCUUUUUAUAUUAAGUUAAACUUUCAC